UACGUAGGGGGCAAGCGUUGUCCGGAAUCAUUGGGCGUAAAGCGCGUGUAGGCGGCCCGGUAAGUCCGCUGUGAAAGUCGGGGGCUCAACCCUCGAAAGCCGGUGGAUACUGUCGGGCUAGAGUGCGGAAGAGGCGAGUGGAAUUCCUGGUGUAGCGGUGAAAUGCGCAGAUAUCAGGAGGAACACCGAUUGCGAAGGCAGCUCGCUGGGACGUAACUGACGCUGAGACGCGAAAGCGUGGGGAGCAAACAGG
Molecule: ribosomal RNA, 253 nt
Filed under: uncultured bacterium
Lineage: Bacteria
Description: partial 16S ribosomal RNA
Rfam family: Bacterial small subunit ribosomal RNA
Source: RNAcentral